This 445-nucleotide ribosomal RNA is filed under the name uncultured bacterium. Its description in RNAcentral is "partial 16S ribosomal RNA". It matches the Rfam family "Bacterial small subunit ribosomal RNA", at positions 354 to 796 of the family's 1533-position model. The record is from RNAcentral.
GUGAGGAAUAUUGCGCAAUGGAGGCAACUCUGACGCAGCCAUGCCGCGUGCAGGAAGAAGGCGCUACGCGUUGUAAACUGCUUUUAACCGGGAAGAAACCCCAGGACGUGUCCUGGGUUGACGGUACCGGAGGAAUAAGCACCGGCUAACUUCGUGCCAGCAGCCGCGGUAAUACGAAGGGUGCAAGCGUUAUGCGGAUUCAUUGGGUUUAAAGGGUGCGUAGGCGGAGCGUUAAGUCAGUGGUGAAAUCCUGCAGCUUAACUGUAGACUUGCAAUUGAUACUGGCGCUCUUGAGUGCGCUUGAAGUGGGCGGAAUGUGCCGUGUAGCGGUGAAAUGCUUAGAUAUGGCACAGAACACCAAUUGCGAAGGCAGCUCACUAAGGCGAUACUGACGCUGAGGCACGAAAGCGUGGGGAUCGAACAGGAUUAGAAACCCCUGUAGUCC